UAUCUCUGUAGAGUCUGCAUAUCAAUAAGCGGAGGAAAAGAAACUAACAAGGAUUCCCUUAGUAACGGCGAGUGAAGCGGGAAGAGCUCAAAUUUGAAAUCUUCAAGGUUCUACCUUGACGAAUUGUAGUUUAAAGAAGUGUUUUCUGUUAGAUGAGUAGCAAAAGGUUCCUUGGAAUGGGACAUCAUAGAGGGUGAGGAUCCCGUAUUUGGUUAUUCAUUCUAGCUUUGUGAUACACUUUCAAAGAGUCGGAUUGUUUGGGAAUGCAGUCCAAAAUGGGUGGUAAAUUUCAUCUAAAGCUAAAUAUUGGCGAGAGACCGAUAGCGAACAAGUACCGUGAGGGAAAGAUGAAAAGAACUUUGAAAAGAGAGUUAAACAGUACGUGAAAUUGUCAAAAGGGAAGCGUUUGACACCAGUGUUGUUUUUCCGAAAAUCAAUUACGAAUGGCUUGAUUUUGUGUUGUAUUAGACCUUAUCAGCUUUCUUCACUUUUUUCGAGUCUUUCUUAAUGCACUUUUCGGUUAACAAGUCAACAUCAAUUUCUUUUGUUGUAAAAGAGUAUUCGGAAGGUGGCUUUCUUUUCGGAGAAAGUGUUUAUAGCCCUAUACUUCUACAAUCGGAGAGAUUGAGGUCUGCAGCGUAGAUCCUUCGGGGUUAGAUACACUUGUGCUAAGUUGUAGCUUUUCAUAGACAACUUGUUGACCAUGUUUAGUCAUGCGGCUUACUCGCUUAGUGCUAUUUUACCUACGCUUAGGAUGUUGACUGAUAUGUAGUCGU
This 776-nucleotide ribosomal RNA is filed under the name uncultured Neocallimastigales. RNAcentral describes it as "partial large subunit ribosomal RNA". It matches the Rfam family "Eukaryotic large subunit ribosomal RNA", at positions 24 to 643 of the family's 3401-position model. The record is from RNAcentral. Lineage: Eukaryota; Fungi; Neocallimastigomycota; Neocallimastigomycetes; Neocallimastigales.